Non-coding RNA from Physcomitrium patens, 884 nucleotides. The record is from RefSeq and is a predicted model, not a curated record. Lineage: Eukaryota; Viridiplantae; Streptophyta; Bryopsida; Funariales; Funariaceae.
CCUAACAUUAAAAUUUUGCAAAAACGUCCGUUUUUUUGUUGUGGUGUUAUCAGUUAGGGCACCCAUCCUGCUCUGUUAAGUAGGUCUUCCCUUGCAGAGUGUAUUCUUCCUCACCCUAAAACUUGGGCUCUUUACUUUGCUGAGUAACCUCAAAUUGUGGUCCACUUGAGGCCUUCUAUUUAUUCCUUUGAAAUACAGCUGAAGGAUAGGUAUGCCUGUGCAACAAUCGAACACAAAUUAUUCACCAAAUAAACAUGAAGAAAAAAAAGUUGUGAAGAAUUUGAUGUGUCAACUUGGGCCACUUGGCACAAAGCACUUACCAUGGCUCUGUAUCAUCCAAUGAGAGACAGCAAAUGCUCAUUGCAACUGGUAUUGUGACCCUGCUUAGACAAUGUUGAUAUUGUGCACUUUUUGUGAGGUGGGGAGCACUAAGAAUUUUCUGUUCGAAGAAUUCACUUUACUUCACUUGGUCAAACUUAUCAGCCGUCAAGCUUGAGAAUGGAGCUCAAGGUGAAUGAACAGUAUCAGAAUUCGUGUACCAAAUGCCUUCCGUUGCCUCUCCACGCAUCACACUGUGGACCUCAACUAUUUAAUUCAAUCAAAUUGUUUUACUCAACCUAAAGUAGGAUUCCAACUUCCAGCACAAUAGUUGAAUUUCUCAAUAACAGUGGAGAUGUGUUCAAAACAAAAAUAUGAUUAUGUAUGUCAAAAUAGCUUACAAUGUUAUUAUGGCAAUGUUAUUACUAUUAUUAGUAUCAUAAAUCAGUGCAAGAAGACAAAGUAUAAUUUAGAAUAGAUAAAAGAAAAAAAGCAUUUAAAACUCAAAGGAAUGAUAACAUUUAUUAAUUUCAUAUAAUUUAUCUAUAAUAUAUUAUAUAAUAGAA